Molecule: ribosomal RNA, 433 nt
Filed under: uncultured bacterium
Lineage: Bacteria
Description: partial 16S ribosomal RNA
Rfam family: Bacterial small subunit ribosomal RNA
Source: RNAcentral
AACGAACGCUGGCGGCAUGCCUAACACAUGCAAGUCGAACGAACCGUCGGGGUGUUGGGGCCCACGGCGGUGUAACCGGUGGGAACCGUCCCUUGGGUUUGAAAUACCUCCCCGAAAGGGGUGCCAUCGCGGGACAAUGGCUACGACCGAAUGAUUUAUUGCCUUUGAUUGGGCCCGCGUGGAAUAAGGUAGUUGGUAGGGUAAAAGCUUACCAAGGCGACGAUCAAUAGCUGGGUUAAGAGAAUGGUCAGCCACACUUGGACUGGGACCCGGCCCAGACUCCUACGGGAGGCGGCAGUGGGGAAUAUUGGACCAUGGGCGGAAGCCUGAUCCAGCAAUGCCGCGUGAGUGAUGAAGGCCUUAGGGUUGUAAAGCUCUUUUACCCGGGAUGAUAAUGACAGUACCGGGAGAAUAAGCUCCGGCUAACUCCGUG